UUCUCUUUAGUUCAUUUAGAAUUUUAGCUUUGGGGGUUAAAGGUUACAGAGAAA
This 54-nucleotide transfer RNA is filed under the name Phyllocoptes taishanensis. RNAcentral describes it as "tRNA-Pro". Lineage: Eukaryota; Metazoa; Arthropoda; Arachnida; Trombidiformes; Eriophyidae. The record is from RNAcentral.